AACGGCCACACCAUAUUGAAUAUACCGGUUCUCGUUAGAUCACCGAAGUCAAGCAUCAUUGGGCGCGGUCAGUACUUGGGUGGGUGACCACCUGGGAACACCGCGUGCCGUU
This 112-nucleotide ribosomal RNA is filed under the name Caerostris darwini. The record is from RNAcentral. Lineage: Eukaryota; Metazoa; Arthropoda; Arachnida; Araneae; Araneidae.